GAUGAACGCUGGCGGCGUGCCUAAUACAUGCAAGUCGAGCGAACGGACGAGAAGCUUGCUUCUCUGAUGUUAGCGGCGGACGGGUGAGUAACACGUGGAUAACCUACCUAUAAGACUGGGAUAACUUCGGGAAACCGGAGCUAAUACCGGAUAAUAUUUUGAACCGCAUGGUUCAAAAGUGAAAGACGGUCUUGCUGUCACUUAUAGAUGGAUCCGCGCUGCAUUAGCUAGUUGGUAAGGUAACGGCUUACCAAGGCAACGAUGCAUAGCCGACCUGAGAGGGUGAUCGGCCACACUGGAACUGAGACACGGUCCAGACUCCUACGGGAGGCAGCAGUAGGGAAUCUUCCGCAAUGGGCGAAAGCCUGACGGAGCAACGCCGCGUGAGUGAUGAAGGUCUUCGGAUCGUAAAACUCUGUUAUUAGGGAAGAACAUAUGUGUAAGUAACUGUGCACAUCUUGACGGUACCUAAUCAGAAAGCCACGCCUAACUACGUG
Molecule: ribosomal RNA, 497 nt
Filed under: uncultured bacterium
Lineage: Bacteria
Description: partial 16S ribosomal RNA
Rfam family: Bacterial small subunit ribosomal RNA
Source: RNAcentral